AACAAAAUUGAAGUGUUCGUCUGGUCCGUCUGUCCGGUAAAAGCGAUUUCGACGAAACUAGAAAAAGGCGGCGGAAGGAAUAUUCGGAAUUGAAAUAAUUGGAAAUUCAAAAAAAGCAUUUCGCGUGAAAUACCUCUGGAUGAAAAUUGCGGGUCCUUCGGGGUAUUAUGUGCGAAAACCGGAGAAUAUUGUUCGUGAUAAAAGGUUUUUUUUCUAAGAAAAAAACGUUUUUUUAAUAAAAC
Molecule: non-coding RNA, 242 nt
Organism: Cinara cedri
Lineage: Eukaryota; Metazoa; Arthropoda; Insecta; Hemiptera; Aphididae
Source: the annotation of a GenBank genome assembly